This 250-nucleotide long non-coding RNA is filed under the name Brassica rapa (field mustard). RNAcentral describes it as "long non-coding RNA (BRAP_LNC006515)". The record is from RNAcentral. Lineage: Eukaryota; Viridiplantae; Streptophyta; Magnoliopsida; Brassicales; Brassicaceae.
AAAAGCUAAGAACCGUCUCUUAAUUAAUAAAUAUAAAAGCCGUCUCUUAGCUAAAAAGUGUAAAAAAAAAAAGUCAAAUCACGAGUUAAGAACUCCGGUUAAGAAACCGGAGUUAAUCAUGCCCUUACACAAUAUUUCUCGUUAAGACGCUUGAGUUUAAAUGCUCAAGGUUAAAACGGAAUCAGAUAGCUGCCAAUAAACUACCAGUCUACCAUAGUCCAUAGGGAAAUAAAAUCACGAAAGCCUUCGG